CCUACGGGAGGCAGCAGUGGGGAAUAUUGCACAAUGGGGGAAACCCUGAUGCAGCGACGCCGCGUGAGUGAAGAAGUAUUUCGGUACGUAAAGCUCUAUCAGCAGGGAAGAAAAUGACGGUACCUGACUAAGAAGCCCCGGCUAACUACGUGCCAGCAGCCGCGGUAAUACGUAGGGGGCAAGCGUUAUCCGGAUUUACUGGGUGUAAAGGGAGCGUAGACGGCAGCGCAAGUCUGGAGUGAAAUCCCAUGGCUUAACCAUGGAACUGCUUUGGAAACUGUGCAGCUAGAGUGCAGGAGAGGUAAGCGGAAUUCCUAGUGUAGCGGUGAAAUGCGUAGAUAUUAGGAGGAACACCAGUGGCGAAGGCGACUUACUGGACUGUAACUGACGUUGAGGCUCGAAAGCGUGGGGAGCAAACAGGAUUAGAUACCCGAGUAGUC
This 440-nucleotide ribosomal RNA is filed under the name uncultured bacterium. RNAcentral's name for it is "partial 16S ribosomal RNA". It matches the Rfam family "Bacterial small subunit ribosomal RNA", at positions 338 to 795 of the family's 1533-position model. The record is from RNAcentral.